AUUUCCGGAGUAGCGGUAAAAUGCGCAGAUAUCGGAAGGUACACCAGUGGCGAAAGCGACUCCCUGGGGCGCGACUGACGCUAAGAGUCGAAAGCUAGGGGAGCGAACAGGAUUAGAGACCCUGGUAGUCCUAGCCCUGAACGAUGGAUGCUAGGUGUGGGACGUAAAGUUCCGUGCCGGAGCCUACGCGAUAAGCAUCCCGCCUGGGGACUACGGUCGCAAGGCUAAAACUCAAACGAAUUGACGGGGACCCGCACAAGCAGCGGAGCGUGUGGUUCAAUUCGAUGCUACACGAAGAACCUUACCUGGGUUUGACAUGUACGUGGUAGAGAAGCGAAAGCGGAUUGACCCUUCGGGGAGCGUACACAGGUGCUGCAUGGCUGUCGUCAGCUCGUGCCGUGAGGUGUCGGGUUAAGUCCCGUAACGAGCGCAACCCUUAUCCUUAGUUGCACGUAUCUAGGGAGACUGCCGGCGGGAAGCCGGAGGAAGGUGGGGAUGACGUCAAGUCAGCAUGGCCCUUAUGUCCAGGGCUACACACACGCUACAAUGGCCGGUACCAAAAGGCUAGCAAAAGUCGCGAAGGCGGGAGCGAAAUCCCAAACAAAAGCCCGGUCAGUAGUUCAGGAUUGCAGGGCUGCAACUCGCAUGCAUGAAGCUGGAGUUGCUAGUAACCGCGCGUCAGCUAUAGUGCGGUGAAUACGUACCCGGGUCUUGUACACACCGCCCGUCACGUCAUGGAAGUCGGUUACGCCUGAAGGCGGUAGCAUAGCUCGGAAGAGGGGGCGCUGUCGAAGGCAGGACUGGCAACUGGGACGAAGUCG
This 821-nucleotide ribosomal RNA is filed under the name uncultured organism. RNAcentral describes it as "bacterial SSU rRNA". It matches the Rfam family "Bacterial small subunit ribosomal RNA", at positions 666 to 1488 of the family's 1533-position model. The record is from RNAcentral.